UUUAGUGGCGGACUGGUGAGUAACGCGUAAGGAACCUGCCUUUUAGAGGGGAAUAACAAUGAGAAAUCAUUGCUAAUACCGCAUAUGCCGAGAGAAUCACAUGGUACAAUCGGGAAAGGAGUAAUCCGCUAAAAGAUGGCCUUGCGUCUGAUUAGAUAGUUGGUGGGGUAACGGCCUACCAAGUCGACGAUCAGUAGCCGGACUGAGAGGUUGAACGGCCACAUUGGGACUGAGAUACGGCCCAGACUCC
Molecule: ribosomal RNA, 250 nt
Filed under: uncultured Oscillospiraceae bacterium
Lineage: Bacteria; Bacillati; Bacillota; Clostridia; Eubacteriales; Oscillospiraceae
Description: partial 16S ribosomal RNA
Rfam family: Bacterial small subunit ribosomal RNA
Source: RNAcentral